UACGGGGGGAGCAAGCGUUGUUCGGAUUUACUGGGUGUAAAGGGUUCGUAGGCGGUGCGGCAAGUCGGGAGUGAAAUCUCUGGGCUUAACCCAGAGGCUGCUUCCGAAACUGCUGUGCUUGAGUGUGGGAGAGGCGCGUGGAAUUGCAGGUGUAGCGGUGAAAUGCGUAGAUAUCUGCAGGAACACCCGUGGCGAAAGCGGCGCGCUGGACCACUACUGACGCUGAGGAACGAAAGCUAGGGGAGCAAACAGG
This 253-nucleotide ribosomal RNA is filed under the name uncultured bacterium. RNAcentral describes it as "partial 16S ribosomal RNA". It matches the Rfam family "Bacterial small subunit ribosomal RNA", at positions 524 to 776 of the family's 1533-position model. The record is from RNAcentral.